CGCGUAGAUAACCUGCCCUUAAGACAGGGAUAACACCUCGAAAGGGGUGCUAAUACCGGAUAAUACUUCGCACCACAAGGGGUGAAGUUAAAAGUUCCGGCGCUUGAGGAUGGGUCUGCGUCCCAUUAGCUGGUUGGUGAGGUAAUAGCUCACCAAGGCGACGAUGGGUAGCGGGUCUGAGAGGAUGAUCCGCCACACUGGCACUGAGAUACGGGCCAGACUCCUACGGGAGGCAGCAGUGGGGAAUAUUGCGCAAUGGGCGAAAGCCUGACGCAGCAAUGCCGCGUGAGUGAAGAAGCCCUUUGGGGCGUAAAGCUCUUUAUCUCCGUGAAGAUGAUGACGGUAGCGGAGGAAUAAGCACCGGCUAA
Molecule: ribosomal RNA, 368 nt
Filed under: uncultured delta proteobacterium
Lineage: Bacteria; Deltaproteobacteria
Description: bacterial SSU rRNA
Rfam family: Bacterial small subunit ribosomal RNA
Source: RNAcentral